GCCAGCAGACAGUACAACUGGGAGAACAAUCCAAAGGGGCUACACAGAGCUUCAAUCCAGUUAUAAAGCCUGUACAGUGCAGAGUCUGCAAACAACAGAAAAUAAAUCUGAGACUAAGGCCAAAAAAGGUGAGAGACUGGAAGAAAAGUGAGUCAGCCAGAACCGCAGGAAGAACUGAAGACCAGGCCUGGGAAAGACAGGAGCCAGGAGAUUGCUGAACUCUGAGUAGCCUGUUUUAGGGCUCUGUCUUUGGAAUGAUUCAGCUGCCUCUGCCUUUAACCCUUGUGUGACUAACCUGGGAUUCUCAAGAGAGUCUGAAUGGCCCCAGCUGGGGCACACGACAAGUGGAGGAGUAGGUGAAGGGCACCCUGAUGCACACGCCCACCAGGACCACAGAGAUUGGAAAAGAAAGAAGAGUAUAGAAAUGGAUGAAUGGCUAAUGAACAAACAAGUGAAGGAACACUGCCUUAUUUAUGCAAAUUUUAGUCUUCUCUAGUCCUCAGGGGUGAACUCUAUUUUCAUGUGGGACUUCAAGCCUCUCACUGUGGAGAUCCCCAGGAGUUUUCUACAGUCUCUCUUCUGCUUGUGAAUGAAGUCUGCCUGCUAGAUCGAUCAACUAAAUGUGUUGGUCCCACAUUGUGAAUAAUCGGUACACCAUCAACAGCAGAAUGGAUGGACACAAGGUAGUCUGUUCACUCUAUGGAUAUGCUGUAGAGAUACUCUCUCUAUAUGCCUUAGAGCAAUCACAUGGAUGAAUCUCACAGGACUGGGUUAUCUUGAUGAUCAAGAGCAUCUGUAACAUAUCUGGGAUAUAGAAGAAAUCCAAAAGAAGAUGCUCCGUUUCCCCUCACCCUGCUCUUUUUGUCUCUGCUAGCUUGUAUCACCUAUCACAGCAUAAGCUCUAUACACUCAUUGUUGGUUUUGUUCAGUGAUGAAUUCCAAAUGCCUAAAAUAAAUGCCCGCAACACUGUAAA
Canis lupus familiaris (dog) is the source of this 974-nucleotide long non-coding RNA. RefSeq lists it as uncharacterized. The transcript is spliced from 4 exons. NCBI's taxonomy places the organism in Eukaryota, Metazoa, Chordata, Mammalia, Carnivora, Canidae. The record is from RefSeq and is a predicted model, not a curated record.